This 489-nucleotide ribosomal RNA is filed under the name uncultured bacterium. Its description in RNAcentral is "partial 16S ribosomal RNA". It matches the Rfam family "Bacterial small subunit ribosomal RNA", at positions 30 to 507 of the family's 1533-position model. The record is from RNAcentral.
AUUGAACGCUGGCGGCAGGCCUAACACAUGCAAGUCGAACGGUAACAGGAAGCAGCUUGCUGCUUUGCUGACGAGUGGCGGACGGGUGAGUAAUGUCUGGGAAACUGCCCGAUGGAGGGGGAUAACUACUGGAAACGGUAGCUAAUACCGCAUAACGUCGCAAGACCAAAGAGGGGGACCUUAGGGCCUCUUGCCAUCGGAUGUGCCCAGAUGGGAUUAGCUAGUAGGUGGGGUAACGGCUCACCUAGGCGACGAUCCCUAGCUGGUCUGAGAGGAUGACCAGCCACACUGGAACUGAGACACGGUCCAGACUCCUACGGGAGGCAGCAGUGGGGAAUAUUGCACAGUGGCGCAAGCCUGAUGCAGCCAUGCCGCGUGUAUGAAGAAGGCCUUCGGGUUGUAAAGUACUUUCAGCGGGGAGGAAGGGAGUAAAGUUAAUACCUUUGCUCAUUGACGUUACCCGCAGAAGAAGCACCGGCUAACUCCGUG